AAGUCGUAACAAGGUCUCCGUUGGUGAACCAGCGGAGGGAUCAUUACAGAGUUGCAAAACUCCCACAAACCAUCGCGAAUCUUACCCGUACGGUUGCCUCGGCGCUGGCGGUCCUUCGGGACCCUCGGGCCUCCCGCUCGCGGGAGGCUGCCCGCCGGAGUGCCGAAACCAAACUCUUGAUAUUUUAUGUCUCUCUGAGUAAACUUUUAAAUAAGUCAAAACUUUCAACAACGGAUCUCUUGGUUCUG
This 248-nucleotide unclassified non-coding RNA is filed under the name Neurospora terricola. Its description in RNAcentral is "partial internal transcribed spacer region". The stretch from base 1 to 46 matches the Rfam family "Eukaryotic small subunit ribosomal RNA", at positions 1786 to 1831 of the family's 1831-position model. The record is from RNAcentral. Lineage: Eukaryota; Fungi; Ascomycota; Sordariomycetes; Sordariales; Sordariaceae.